This 549-nucleotide ribosomal RNA is filed under the name uncultured bacterium. Its description in RNAcentral is "bacterial SSU rRNA". It matches the Rfam family "Bacterial small subunit ribosomal RNA", at positions 356 to 896 of the family's 1533-position model. The record is from RNAcentral.
GGGGAAUCUUCCGCAAUGGACGAAAGUCUGACGGAGCAACGCCGCGUGAGUGAUAAAGGUCUUCGGAUUGUAAAGCUCUGUUAAUCGGGACGAAAGACUCUUGUGUGAAUAAUGCAGGAGAGUGACGGUACCGGAAUAGAAAGCCACGGCUAACUACGUGCCAGCAGCCGCGGUAAUACGUAGGUGGCAAGCGUUGUCCGGAAUUAUUGGGCGUAAAGCGCGCGCAGGCGGCCUAUCCAGUCUGUCUUAAAAGUUCGGGGCUCAACCCCGUGAUGGGAUGGAAACUAGUAGGCUAGAGUAUCGGAGAGGAAAGCGGAAUUCCUAGUGUAGCGGUGAAAUGCGUAGAUAUUAGGAAGAACACCAGUGGCGAAGGCGGCUUUCUGGACGAAAACUGACGCUGAGGCGCGAAAGCCAGGGGAGCGAACGGGAUUAAAUACCCCGGUAGUCCUGGCCGUAAACGAUGGGUACUAGGUGUAGGAGGUAUCGACCCCUUCUGUGCCGGAGUUAACGCAAUAAGUACCCCGCCUGGGGAGUACGGUCGCAAGGCUG